RNAcentral lists this ribosomal RNA (274 nucleotides) under uncultured bacterium. Its description in RNAcentral is "partial 16S ribosomal RNA". It matches the Rfam family "Bacterial small subunit ribosomal RNA", at positions 523 to 796 of the family's 1533-position model. The record is from RNAcentral.
AUACGGAGGGUGCAAGCGUUAAUCGGAAUUACUGGGCGUAAAGCGCUCGUAGGCGGUUGAUUAAGUCGGAUGUGAAAGCCCAGGGCUCAACCUUGGAACUGCAUUCGAUACUGGUAGACUAGAGUACAGUAGAGGCAAGUGGAAUUUCCUGUGUAGCGGUGAAAUGCGUAGAUAUAGGAAGGAACAUCAGUGGCGAAGGCGACUUGCUGGACUGAUACUGACGCUGAGGAGCGAAAGCGUGGGGAGCAAACGGGAUUAGAAACCCGAGUAGUCC